AGUGAACGUUGGCGGCGUGGAUUAGGCAUGCAAGUCGAGCGAGAACCGUAGCAAUACGGGGACAGCGGCGAAAGGGACAGUAAUGUGUAGGUACCUACCCCGAGGUCUGGGAUAGCUGCGGGAAACUGCAGGUAAUACCGGAUAAUGUCUUCGGACCAAAGGUGUGAUUCCACCUUGGGAGGGGCCUGCAUCCUAUUAGCUUGUUGGCGGGGUAACGGCCCACCAAGGCGACGAUGGGUAGCGGGUGUGAGAGCACGACCCGCGUCAUUGGGAAGGAGAAACUGCCCGGACACCUACGGGUGGCUGCAGUCGAGGGCCUUCGGCAAUGGGCGCAAGCCUGACCGAGCGACGCCGCGUGCGGGAUGAAGGCCUUCGGGUUGUAAACCGCUGUCGUAGAGGAGGAGAUGCAGGGGGGUUCUCCCUUCUGUUUGACCUAUUCUAGGAGGAAGGACGGGCUAAGUUCGUGCCAGCCGCCGCCGUAA
This 482-nucleotide ribosomal RNA is filed under the name uncultured bacterium. Its description in RNAcentral is "partial 16S ribosomal RNA". It matches the Rfam family "Bacterial small subunit ribosomal RNA", at positions 28 to 523 of the family's 1533-position model. The record is from RNAcentral.